Molecule: ribosomal RNA, 402 nt
Filed under: uncultured bacterium
Lineage: Bacteria
Description: bacterial SSU rRNA
Rfam family: Bacterial small subunit ribosomal RNA
Source: RNAcentral
UAUUGGACAAUGGGCGCAAGCCUGAUCCAGCAAUACCGCGUGUGUGAAGAAGGCCUUAGGGUUGUAAAGCACUUUCAAUUGGGAGGAAAACCUGCCGGUCAAUACCCGGUAGCUUGACAUUACCUUUAGAAGAAGCACCGGCUAACUCCGUGCCAGCAGCCGCGGUAAUACGAAGGGGGCUAGCGUUGCUCGGAAUUACUGGGCGUAAAGGGCGCGUAGGCGGACAGUUAAGUCGGGGGUGAAAGCCCGGGGCUCAACCUCGGAAUUGCCUUCGAUACUGGCUGUCUUGAGUACGGGAGAGGUGUGUGGAACUCCGAGUGUAGAGGUGAAAUUCGUAGAUAUUCGGAAGAACACCAGUGGCGAAGGCGACACACUGGCCCGUUACUGACGCUGAGCGCGAAG